Molecule: long non-coding RNA, 546 nt
Filed under: Gossypium barbadense (sea-island cotton)
Lineage: Eukaryota; Viridiplantae; Streptophyta; Magnoliopsida; Malvales; Malvaceae
Description: long non-coding RNA (GBAR_LNC001836)
Source: RNAcentral
GCUGAGCCCAAAUCUCCGUCUCUCUCCCAUUUCGGAUGCUCAGUUCUCACCUUAUGUUGGCGGGAUGGCAUUCUCUCCCACUUCAUCCCCUGGUUACAGCCCAUCAUCUCCUGGCUACAGUCCUUCAUCUCCUGGCUACAGUCCUACCUCGCCUGGUUACAGCCCUACAUCUCCUGGCUACAGUCCUACCUCGCCUGGUUACAGCCCCACAUCACCUACUUACAGUCCUAGUUCACCAGGUUACAGCCCAACAAGUCCAGCCUACUCUCCUACAAGUCCCUCUUAUUCUCCAACCUCACCAAGCUAUAGCCCUACCUCUCCAAGCUACAGCCCUACGUCUCCAAGUUACAGUCCUACUUCACCAAGUUAUAGUCCCACAUCUCCCAGCUAUAGUCCAACUUCACCAAGCUACAGCCCUACUUCACCGGCAUAUAGCCCAACUUCACCUGCAUACAGCCCCACUUCUCCAUCAUACAGCCCAACAUCGCCAUCAUACAGUCCGACAUCUCCUUCUUACAGCCCAACCUCACCCUCCUAUAGCCCUAC